RNAcentral lists this ribosomal RNA (253 nucleotides) under uncultured bacterium. RNAcentral's name for it is "partial 16S ribosomal RNA". It matches the Rfam family "Bacterial small subunit ribosomal RNA", at positions 526 to 779 of the family's 1533-position model. The record is from RNAcentral.
CGUAGGGCGCAAGCGUUAUCCGGAUUAUUGGGCGUAAAGAGCUCGUAGGCGGUUUGUCGCGUCUGCCGUGAAAGUCCGAGGCUCAACCUCGGAUCUGCGGUGGGUACGGGCAGACUAGAGUGAUGUAGGGGAGACUGGAAUUCCUGGUGUAGCGGUGAAAUGCGCAGAUAUCAGGAGGAACACCGAUGGCGAAGGCAGGUCUCUGGGCAUCUACUGACGCUGAGGAGCGAAAGCAUGGGGAGCGAACAGGAUU